UGAGGAACAUGACUUUCGGCGGGGGAUAGCCGGCUCAACGGCCGGGUAAUACCGCGUACGACCUUUCGGGGACAUCCCCGGAUGGUGAAAGCAGCAAUGCGCCGAUGGAGUGCCUCGCGGCCUAUCAGCUAGUUGGUGGGGUAACGCUCACCAAGGCAACGACGGGUAGCUGGUCUGAGAGGAUGGCCAGCCACAUUGGGACUGAGACACGGCCCAGACUCC
RNAcentral lists this ribosomal RNA (222 nucleotides) under uncultured bacterium. RNAcentral describes it as "partial 16S ribosomal RNA". It matches the Rfam family "Bacterial small subunit ribosomal RNA", at positions 118 to 339 of the family's 1533-position model. The record is from RNAcentral.